This is a long non-coding RNA of Pezoporus occidentalis (night parrot), 4528 nucleotides long. RefSeq lists it as uncharacterized. NCBI's taxonomy places the organism in Eukaryota, Metazoa, Chordata, Aves, Psittaciformes, Psittacidae. The record is from RefSeq and is a predicted model, not a curated record. The transcript is spliced from 2 exons.
UUGUGCCUCAAACCUGAGCAAGACCUGGGAGAAAACUAAGAAAUGGAGAUUCACACUCCUUUCUUUUCAGGUGUUAAACUGAAACAAAGUGCAAGUUAAGGUAUGCCAUUUAAAUAUAUGUUGGCUUCUCAUGAUAAAACCAGCUACCCAAAGGCAUUUAGUAAAAAAAAAAAACAACAAACAAACAAAACCAACUCCAAAAAAAACCCAACAACACAAAACCCACAAAGGUACUCAUUUCCUAUUGAAAUGCUCAGGAAAUACAUGCCCAGGAAUAGAUCUGAAAACGAAGCUGUUAUCUUUCUUCAUCCUUUGAUCUCUAACAUCUUUCAAAAUACGGCCUCCAAGUGAUAUGCCCAAGGAUGCAUGAAAUCAAGUGCUGAAUCUUUAUCUCCUCCACUUGUGCAUCUCUGCUCUGCAAUUCACAACACAGAUACAUUCCUCCUCAGGACUAGUCUUGACUAAGGGCAAUCAAAAAGACUAAUCCCAGGAAUAAAGAUACUAGACAGGCAUUCACAGUUGCCCUGCACAGACACCCUCCCCAUUUCCUCCCAUCUAGGUUGCAGCUGCAUCUGGCCCUCAAUUCUCUCCAGAUGUGUGAUGAGUUUAAAGAUCUGUCCCAGUCCUUGGCCUUCACUGAGAACCACAGAGCUAGUAAUUUCUGAAAUAACAGAGAAUCUGAGACCUUUUAUGCUAGAAAUACUACAGGGAAGAGAGUGCCUGUAGACACCAACUGCCUCUGUAGUGAAAUCUGAAGUUUCCCCUCUGCUUUUUCGUGCAUAACAGCAUCUGUAUGCCUCAUUUCCAUCUUCACAGCUCCUGUAAUUUACAUAAUGAACAUUUGCAAAGCCUGAGAUCUGUGUUCGCUUUGUCUCACAUUUACUGUAGAUGACCUUCAACAUAUCAUCAGAAAAGUUUCCCAGGCAUUUUCCCAAAGGAUAUGAAUGUGAAACAUAAAACUAUUAGGAAAAGAGAAAAGGGGAAUAAAAUCAGAUUUCUGAUUCAUCAUUCAAAGAUAUGUAUUUUUUCUUCCUACAGCAGGACAAAAAUAUUUGAGUUUAAAAAUAAAAAGGAGUUUUGGCUUUAACAAUUUGCUUCUUUAAAGCAACUGUUGGUAUAAGGUCCCUCAAUAAAGUAACUUUAAUUAGGUUUGCCUUCCUAAUGAAUAAUAAAAAAAAAGUCUGGUGGCAAAUAACUGGCAGUCUAGGCAGGGAUUCAGGACUGACAAGUAAUCCUGACUUAGAGGGAUAGGAACAGGACAUCAGGGUGAGAACAAGCAGCUGAAGCUACUUCUGCCUCUUCUGCAGGUGUCAGGUGCAGCUCUGAUUGCUCCUGCAGACACUGCUGGAAUCACAACAAGACAAUCACAAGGUGACAAACCAGGAACUGACCCAUUUUUGCUUCUGAUGCCCAUCCUCAACCAACUGUCCUUUUCAUCCCCCUUGCAAGUGCCAGCAAAGCUUGUCUGACAGCAUCCUUGGAAACUCCAUCUCCAAUAUUACAUUGAAGCUGAUAUUCUACUGAUGUGGGGCAGCAGGAGAGAAGUUUCUAUAGGUAUUGGCUGGGUUCUGGAUAAGUGCAACUCAGGAAUAUUCUCUCAUUUGAGGAGUGCCUAAGUCCUGUGGACCUCAUGGGAGGUGGAAUACGUGCAAAUGCUGAAGUGAUUGGGGCUGGAAGCACACAGCAGAGUCAGCCCAGGCCACUGCCAAAGGAACAACUUGAGUGUGCACGCAGUUUUUGGAACAUGAAUGAUCCCAUUGACUCCCGAUUGCCUGCGGAUGCAGCUCGGGUUGAAUGGGUCUUAUGUUUGCACAGAAGGAUGGCCCAGAAGGAACUGAGAACGUUUCCAAGCAGAAACCGCUAAAUGUCACUUUGUAUGUGCAGAGCACACCCCCCCAGCUGUGAGCUGGUAUACCAGCGAGGGGUUCUGGGUGCCAUCAUGCAAGCCUGGGGCUGUGCUCAGGGAGGAGGAAGUGUGAUCAAGAUCCUGCCUGUGUCGUGACCCACUCUGUAGAAUGGGCUGAGCCCCUCUACGAGGAUCACGCUCACUGCACAUGUACUGCCGUCCCUUGGCAGCCUCCUACCUAGAUGAGAGCUGUCUGCCCUGAUGGGUGCAGCAAUUUGAGCCUCUUGGUUUACAAGUACUACGUUGGUGCAGAGUAAUGUUAUUAUGCAUUCACAUCAAUUUGUGUAAAGCUGGCAGCAUCCUUGGUGGAUAUUUUUGUACCUCCAGUUUCUAAAUGGCAUUGCUGUUAACAGCAAUGUAUCAUCAUUACCAGCAAGGCUUAUGAGGAUGCACAAAGUGUGAUAUUACUGAAACCUCUGCAAGUACUGUGUGAUAAUCAGGCACAGGUUGGUUAUGUUUUCUCCUUACUCAGUAGAGUGGAUUUGAGCAGGAUUUUGGUUAUAAUCCUCUGAUGAGCCGAUUUCCCCCCAGGUCAGGACAGCUAUCUCCUUGUAUGUAUACAAAAGCACCAUGGACCAGAAGCCUUGCGUGAAUCUUUAUUCCUGCUAAAGCAUCAGAUAGUCCCAGGUCAGUGCCAGCAAAGAGGAACCAAGGGUCCUGUUCAAGACCACAGACCCCCAGCCCUUGCUAGCCCAGAUGUCAUUUGAUUUUUCAGGUCUCAUCCUACAGCUGCUUUGGCUACGGUGCUCCCUCCAGUCAUGCCAUUAUGUAUUAAUAGGGGACAGAGCUGGCAAUGGAAAAGGAUAGCAGAAGUACACAUUUGUCUUGCUGUCCAGUAAGCCACAAAACAAAUAGCGAUGCCAAGUGUAAUCCUGCUUCAGUUAAAACUGUUGCUUUAGUUUGUCAUCAUUCAUUGUUCAGAGUACAGCUGCUUAAUGACAGGAUGUGGGAAAUGAAAAGUUUUUUAUGUCCUUGUAGACUUUUUAAAAUAAAAAUUCCUGAGCAGUGGAGGAAGGUGCUUGCACAGAAAUCCUGGGUUUGAAUGCCAAGACACAGCCUGGCGGGAGCGAGCCUCCCUCAAUGAGGCUCAGGAGACGGACAUUUUGCUCUUAGCUUUAAAAGUAACCUGCUGUGUGAAGCUGGUCUGCCUUGGCUUUGUUUGCUUAUUUUACACAUCUGUGCAUCUGUCUCUGCCCAGCACCUUGCAAAACGGGACCUGCGUUUGGUAGGAAGAAAUGAAAACUAAAAGACAAAUGCCAUGGGGCCACUUCAAUGCAAGAUGCCCCAAGUCCAAUUAAGUUGGCAAAUGUUAGAUUUUGAACCUAAAUAUAGGGCAAUGCAGGGACUGUGAGCAAGCGGAUGAAAUCUGAGGUGGACAGGGUGUUUGCAGAGGAGACUUCAUUAAGCCAGAAAUAGAAGAGACAACCCCAGCUCUGCCAAAAGCUGGGGUGCGUGGGGUGCCUUUUUAAUUUUCGGGUCCAUUUUAAUAAUGAUCUUAAUUUUUAUACAGGCCACGGUGGAGCUCCACCCCUUCUGCGUGCUAAUUGCUUUGAGCUGAUGGUGCAGAAUUACCAGCAGGCGCAUGAUCUUUGCUCUCAGUGGGAACUCCCCUACCUGUGUGUGCUGCACAUCAUGUAAGCAAAUAGGGAAGCUGAUGGCUUUGGUGGGAGACACAUUUCAUUCAGGCUUUAAAUUUGUUUCUGGCAGGCACAGCCCUUGAAGAACCACCAAAGGCUGGGAUGUGGCCAACAAGUCUGCAUAAUAGCUAGUCCCUCCCUGGUUUAACUCUGCCUCUAGAAACAUUCUCCUUCCUUCUUUAUGUAUAUGUAUUAAGCGCUGUCCCAAACUAUGUGAAAUCAGUGUGGAAUUUGCCUGAGGUUCCUCCCUGCCUGCUCAGGGCUUCUCAGCAGCGUAAGCAAAAUUAAAGGAGAUGGUGGGGUUGGGAUGAAACCACUGUUUUAUGAUCUCAGAUAAAUGUCACAUACUUUAGCAUUAAUUGAUAUAUUCUUACAGUAAUCACUUCCCAGCAGAUCACCAGCACGGUCAUCACCACUCUCCCAGUCCAAAAGUCAGUCUUUUUUUUUUGUAUCCUUUAAAAAUUUCUAUUUCCAACAAGCCUACUGUUAUCACACUUUUGCUAUUUUAAGUUUGGUGGCACGAAAAGGCUGACUCACAGAAAGCCGUGUUGUAGGAUAUAUUGGCUCAGCUGAGGAAAUAAUUCUCAAUUCAUUCUUCUACCAAGUGCUUUGAGUUUUUUUUCCUGUCCCUCUCUCUUUUUGUGUGUGUGUGUGUCUUUUGGUCUCACAUUAUGGUACACAUCUGGUACUAUGAAAGAUUGAGAGCUAUUUCUAAUGCAUUGGUCUGCCCAGUCAAAUGUGUCUUUCUGUAUAUACCCUGAAGUGUUUUAUGUGCCUGCUAGAGAUGUUACACAGGAUACUCACACAACUCAUAAAAUUUGGUCUUGUAUUGGAAAAUGUUUUGUGGAAGUAUGCUGCUUAAUCUACUGUAGCCAUUCACAGUUAAUGUUGUUGUGGUGGGCAUUGCAGGGGGUGAAGAUUACAACCUGCUUAGGGAAGUUUGAUACGUUAUCAGAAAUCCUCAAGAAUAAAACUGAAAGAAAUG